This 419-nucleotide ribosomal RNA is filed under the name bacterium. Its description in RNAcentral is "partial 16S ribosomal RNA". It matches the Rfam family "Bacterial small subunit ribosomal RNA", at positions 355 to 776 of the family's 1533-position model. The record is from RNAcentral.
UGGGGGAUAUUGCACAAUGGGCGAAAGCCUGAUGCAGCGACGCCGCGUGGGGGAUGAAGGCCUUCGGGUUGUAAACUUCUUUUGCUCUGAACAAGGCAUGCUAAUGGGUGUGUUGAGUGUAGGGGUUGAUUAGCGCCGGCUAGCUACGUGCCAGCAGCCGCGGUAAUACGUAGGGCGCGAGCGUUGUCCGGAAUUAUUGGGCGUAAAGGGCUUGUAGGUGGCUGGUUGCGUCUGUCGUGAAAGCUCAUGGCUUAACUGUGGGUUUGCGGUGGGUACGGGCUGGCUUGAGUGCAGUAGGGGAGGCUGGAAUUCCUGGUGUAGCGGUGGAAUGCGCAGAUAUCAGGAGGAAUACCGGUGGCGAAGGCGGGUCUCUGGGCUGUUACUGACACUGAGGAGCGAAAGCAUGGGGAGCGAACAGG